This 70-nucleotide transfer RNA is filed under the name Fodinibius roseus. Its description in RNAcentral is "Aliifodinibius roseus tRNA". It matches the Rfam family "tRNA". Rfam says of the family: Transfer RNA (tRNA) molecules are approximately 80 nucleotides in length. Their secondary structure includes four short double-helical elements and three loops (D, anti-codon, and T loops). Lineage: Bacteria; Pseudomonadati; Balneolota; Balneolia; Balneolales; Balneolaceae. The record is from Rfam by way of RNAcentral.
GGCGAUGUGACCGAGUGGCAGGUGGGAGUUUGCAACGCUUCUUACGGUGGUUCGAAUCCACCCAUCGCCU